GGAUCAGUGGUAUACAAGGUGUGCAAGCUUGUCUGAAAAACAAGAGAGAACUGUUCAAUUCAGUUCUGAUCCA
This 73-nucleotide transfer RNA is filed under the name Chryseobacterium daecheongense. Its description in RNAcentral is "tRNA-Phe". It matches the Rfam family "tRNA". From Rfam's summary of the family: Transfer RNA (tRNA) molecules are approximately 80 nucleotides in length. The record is from RNAcentral. Lineage: Bacteria; Pseudomonadati; Bacteroidota; Flavobacteriia; Flavobacteriales; Weeksellaceae.